Small nucleolar RNA from Bufo bufo (common toad), 99 nucleotides. The record is from RefSeq and is a predicted model, not a curated record. NCBI's taxonomy places the organism in Eukaryota, Metazoa, Chordata, Amphibia, Anura, Bufonidae.
UGCCUGUGAUGAGUUGCCAUGCUAAUACUGACACUGCAGCCGGGAGCAGGUGGCUUCUGCGCUCGCAGUGACUGAGUGUAAAUGACUUAACUGAGGCGG